CCUACGGGAGGCAGCAGUGAGGAAUAUUGGUCAAUGGGCGAGAGCCUGAACCAGCCAAGUCGCGUGAAGGAUGACGGCCCUACGGGUUGUAAACUUCUUUUGUCAGGGAGCAAUUGAGUCCACGUGUGGGCUUAGCGAGAGUACCUGAAGAAAAAGCAUCGGCUAACUCCGUGCCAGCAGCCGCGGUAAGACGGAGGAUGCGAGCGUUCUCCGGAUUUAUUGGGUUUAAAGGGGGCGUAGACGGAAUAUCAAGUCAGCGGUAAAACUUCGGGGCUCAACCCCGUCGUGCCGUUGAAACUGAUGUUCUUGAGUGGGCGAGAAGUAUGCGGAAUGCGUGGUGUAGCGGUGAAAUGCAUAGAUAUCACGCAGAACUCCGAUUGCGAAGGCAGCAUACCGGCGCCCAACUGACGCUGAAGCACGAAAGCGUGGGUAUCGAACAGGAUUAGAUACCCCUGUAGUC
RNAcentral lists this ribosomal RNA (460 nucleotides) under uncultured bacterium. Its description in RNAcentral is "partial 16S ribosomal RNA". It matches the Rfam family "Bacterial small subunit ribosomal RNA", at positions 338 to 795 of the family's 1533-position model. The record is from RNAcentral.